AAAGUCGUAACAAGGUUUCCGUAGGUGAACCUGCGGAAGGAUCAUUAUCACGUAAUAAUCCACGUAUCAACCAAAAGAACUGUUUUUUAACUAAUAGAUUAACUAUUAUUAAUUCUUCUGAACUCAUGAACUAAUGCUGCUCCUACCCCAAUGAAAAGCGGGGAUGAGCUUUCUUACGAAACAAAAGAACAACUCUUAGCAACGGAUAUCUUGGUUCUC
This 219-nucleotide unclassified non-coding RNA is filed under the name Cercozoa sp. Its description in RNAcentral is "partial contains small subunit ribosomal RNA, internal transcribed spacer 1, and 5.8S ribosomal RNA". The stretch from base 1 to 47 matches the Rfam family "Eukaryotic small subunit ribosomal RNA", at positions 1785 to 1831 of the family's 1831-position model. The record is from RNAcentral. Lineage: Eukaryota; Cercozoa.